AGUGUCAGAGUAGUAACUGGUUCCCGGAUUUCUUUUUUAACUGUUUUCCCUAAUGUGACAUGUUCAGUUACCGGAUUGUUUACCGCAUGGAAACAGCAUGGCUGGACAGUGGGAUGUUAUCGCUGUUUGUUCCUGGCUCCAAUCCAAUGGAUUGGGGAAAUUUGCGGACUUUUUUACAGGAAAUCAAUGUCGGAUAUAAAUUGCCAGUAUUAUUUAAGAAGAAAUAGAUGGUAAUGCUUUAUUGGGCCUAAACGAAGAUGAGGUGUUACAGAUUUUCCCAAAAAUGGGACCAAGGGCAAAAUUUAGGACCCUCCUUCAUCAGUUAAAGGUAUGAACAUAACGCCAGAUCCUUUU
This is a long non-coding RNA of Mytilus californianus (California mussel), 354 nucleotides long. RefSeq lists it as uncharacterized. NCBI's taxonomy places the organism in Eukaryota, Metazoa, Mollusca, Bivalvia, Mytilida, Mytilidae. The record is from RefSeq and is a predicted model, not a curated record. The transcript is spliced from 3 exons.